UAGCCAGACUCCUACGGGAGGCAGCAGUGAGGAAUAUUGGUCAAUGGGCGAGCGUCUGAACCAGCCAAGUCGCGUGAGGGAAGACGGUCCUAUGGAUUGUAAACCUCUUUUGUCGGGGAGCAAAAAGGCCUCGUGAGGCCACAAGUGAGAGUACCCGAAGAAAAAGCAUCGGCUAACUCCGUGCCAGCAGCCGCGGUAAUACGGAGGAUGCGAGCGUUAUCCGGAUUUAUUGGGUUUAAAGGGUGCGCAGGCGGAGGUGCAAGUCAGCGGUCAAAUUGCGGGGCUCAACCCCGUACUGCCGUUGAAACUGGCGUUCUUGAGUGGGCGAGAAGUAUGCGGAAUGCGUGGUGUAGCGGUGAAAUGCAUAGAUAUCACGCAGAACUCCGAUUGCGAAGGCAGCAUACCGGCGCCCAACUGACGCUGAAGCACGAAAGCGUGGGUAUCGAACAGGAUUAGAUACCCCUGUA
This 467-nucleotide ribosomal RNA is filed under the name uncultured bacterium. Its description in RNAcentral is "bacterial SSU rRNA". It matches the Rfam family "Bacterial small subunit ribosomal RNA", at positions 328 to 792 of the family's 1533-position model. The record is from RNAcentral.